AUGGCGAGCAGGACGGCGGGGCGGGGCGGGAGGCCGCUGCUGGGCGGCGGCGCCGGGGGCGGGAGGCGCGGGAAGCCGUCCAAGGCGAUCCUGGCCGCGCUGCUGCUGGCGUCGGUGGCGCUGCUGCUCCUCCUGGCGCUCGGCGCGCUCUCGCUGCCGGCCGGCUCCGGCCGCGGCGCGGUCCUCUCGCUCCCGCGCCCGCGCUUCCGCAGAUCCGCGUCCGAGUCGAGGCUGGAGAAGCGCGGGGAGAAAGGGGAGCCCUGGACGGAGGUUCUGUCGUGGGAGCCACGGGCGUUCAUCUACCACAACUUGCUCUCCAAGGAAGAAUGUCAGUAUUUAAUUUCAUUGGCAAAGCCUCACAUGAAGAAGUCGACAGUGGUUGAUUCUGCAACUGGAGGGAGUAAAGAUAGCAGGGUGCGAACGAGUUCAGGAACAUUUCUUAAAAGAGGCCAGGACAAAAUUGUUCGCACCAUUGAGAAAAGAAUAUCAGAUUUCACCUUCAUACCUGUAGAAAACGGAGAGGGCCUUCAAGUUCUCCACUAUGAGGUUGGACAGAAAUAUGAACCUCACUUUGAUUACUUCCAUGAUGAUUUCAACACCAAAAAUGGGGGCCAGCGUAUAGCCACUGUUCUUAUGUAUCUUUCGGAUGUUGAAGAGGGCGGUGAGACCGUGUUUCCUUCUGCUAAAGUUAAUAGCAGCUCAAUACCAUUUCAUAAUAAGCUGUCUGAAUGUGCAAAGCGGGGUAUAUCUGUCAAACCGAAGAUGGGAGAUGCAUUGCUUUUCUGGAGCAUGAGGCCUGAUGGAACCCUGGAUCCCACAAGCCUCCAUGGUGGUUGUCCAGUGAUAAAAGGUGACAAAUGGUCAUCUACAAAGUGGAUUCGUGUUCAUGAGUACAAAGUUUAG
RNAcentral lists this ribosomal RNA (903 nucleotides) under Triticum aestivum (bread wheat). RNAcentral's name for it is "partial small subunit ribosomal RNA". The record is from RNAcentral. Lineage: Eukaryota; Viridiplantae; Streptophyta; Magnoliopsida; Poales; Poaceae.